CUUGGAGUUGGUUAAGUUUCGAAAAUCUCCUCUUUUUGAGUUAGUGACUGAUUAGGCUUUAAUAUCUUGUUUCCAAGUGUGGUUUGGGAGAAUGGUGGUCGCUGGACAGCUCAUUGAAGGUUGAGGAUUACUUUGGAGCUGUUAAGGUGAAGAAUCUACCUUGGGCUGAACCUACAGAGAACUCAGAGUAAUUUUUGGGUUGAAGUGGAAGUUGGGGAUUUCUGACUGUCUUGGAGCUCUACUGGGAAAGAACAAGUUGCAGAGAAAGAAGGAGUUUAUAGGGAUUUAUGUAGAUAUUAUGAGUUCAUCCACACCUAGCACCAUAGCUCCAACUACUUUUCAAUGUUAGGAGGAAUUUAAUUUGGGUUGUAAUGUAUAUUUGGUUGAAUUUGGGUUGUAUUUGGCUAGUAAUUUAUUUUGGAACUUAUUUUGUUGAAGUUUGAUUUAAUUUGGGUUGUAAUUUAUAUGUUGAAGUUGGAUUGAA
Molecule: long non-coding RNA, 484 nt
Organism: Prunus dulcis (almond)
Lineage: Eukaryota; Viridiplantae; Streptophyta; Magnoliopsida; Rosales; Rosaceae
Exons: 3
Source: RefSeq, a predicted model, not a curated record